CUCUCUCUUCCUCUAAAU
This 18-nucleotide small nuclear RNA is filed under the name Arabidopsis thaliana (thale cress). Its description in RNAcentral is "snRNA_11685". The record is from RNAcentral. Lineage: Eukaryota; Viridiplantae; Streptophyta; Magnoliopsida; Brassicales; Brassicaceae.